CAGCCGCCACGGUAAUACGUAGGUGGCGAGCGUUGUCCGGAAUUAUUGGGCGUAAAGGGCUCGCAGGCGGUUUCUUAAGUCUGAUGUGAAAGCCCCCGGCUCAACCGGGGAGGGUCAUUGGAAACUGGGAAACUUGAGUGCAGAAGAGGAGAGUGGAAUUCCACGUGUAGCGGUGAAAUGCGUAGAGAUGUGGAGGAACACCAGUGGCGAAGGCGACUCUCUGGUCUGUAACUGACGCUGAGGAGCGAAAGCGUGGGGAGCGAACAGGAUUAGAUACCCCUGUAGUCCCUGUCUCUUAUAA
This 301-nucleotide ribosomal RNA is filed under the name uncultured bacterium. RNAcentral's name for it is "partial 16S ribosomal RNA". It matches the Rfam family "Bacterial small subunit ribosomal RNA", at positions 509 to 809 of the family's 1533-position model. The record is from RNAcentral.